Oncorhynchus keta (chum salmon) is the source of this 1767-nucleotide long non-coding RNA. RefSeq lists it as uncharacterized. The transcript has 2 exons. The record is from RefSeq and is a predicted model, not a curated record. NCBI's taxonomy places the organism in Eukaryota, Metazoa, Chordata, Actinopteri, Salmoniformes, Salmonidae.
CAUAUUCUUAAUUGUUUUAUUUAUACUUUAUUCAACAUUUAACAAAUGUAACUAAACUCCAUGUUACAGUUAGUUGAAUUGUUUGGUUCAAUGCUUGUGUUUGUUUCAAACUCCAUCCAAUAUUUUAUCUUUAUCACUGACCUCAACCCAGAGUCUUUUAGAGAGUUCACAGAACAUAAAAAUACAGUAUAUGAAUCCAUAAAUACCUCAUAUAGCACUGUAGUCCACCACAAACAACUGUGACGAUUUACACACAAAAACAGAGUAUUGUAUACUUCAUUUCAAAUUCAUAUAGUCGUUAUAUCAUUAUAUGGAUACUUAGGUGCUUUUUGAUAAACUGUAAUACAGUGUACUUCGCAUAUAGUGAUAAUCUGUGCAGGACUGUCAGCGAUUGAUCACUAUACAGUAUUCACUAUCAGCAGAGUGGUGUAUACAGUAUUCACUAUUAACAGAGUAUACUGUAUACAGUAUUCACUAUUAGCAGAGUGGUGUAUACAGUAUUCACUAUUAACAGAGUAUACUGUAUACAGUAUUCACUAUUAACAGAGUAUACUGUAUACAGUAUGCACUAUUAACAGAGUGGUGUAUACAGUAUUCACUAUUAACAGAAUGGUGUAUACAGUAUUCACCAUUAGCAGAGUAUACUGUAUACAGUAUUCACUAUUAACAGAGCAUACUGUAUACAGUAUUCACUAUUAGCAGAGUGGUGUAUACAGUAUUCACUAUUAACAGAGCAUACUGUAUACAGUAUUCACUAUUAGCAGAGUGGUGUAUACAGUAUUCACUAUUAGCAGAGUAUACUGUAUACAGUAUUCACUAUUAGCAGAGUGUACUCUAUACAGUAUUCACUAUUAACAGAGUGGUGUAUACAGUAUUCACUAUUAGCGGAGUGGUGUAUACAUUAUUCACUAUUAACAGAGUGGUUUAUACAAUAUUCACUAUUAACAGAGUGGUGUAUACAGUAUUCACUAUUAGCAGAGUGUACUGUAUACAGUAUUCACUUUUAGCAGAGUAUACUGUAUACAGUAUUCACUAUUAGCAGAGUGUACUCUAUACAGUAUUCACUAUUAGCAGAGUGUACUCUAUACAGUAUUCACUAUUAACAGAGUGGUGUAUACAGUAUUCACUAUUAGCAGAGUGUACUCUAUACAGUAUUCACUAUUAACAGAGUGGUGUAUACAGUAUUCACUAUUAGCAGAGUGGUGUAUACAGUAUUCACUAUUAGCAGAGUGGUGUAUACAUUAUUCACUAUUAACAGAGUGGUUUAUACAGUAUACAUUAUUAGCAGAGUAUACUGUAUACAGUAUUCACUAUUAGCAGAGUAUACUGUAUACAAUAUUCACUAUUAGCAGAGUGGUGUAUACAGUAUUCACUAUUAACAGAGUGGUGUAUACAGUAUUCACUAUUAGUAGAGUAUACUGUAUACAGUAUGCACUAUUAACAGAGUGGUGUAUACAGUAUUCACUAUUAACAGAAUGGUGUAUACAGUAGUCACCAUUAGCAGAGUAUACUGUAUACAGUAUUCACUAUUAACAGAGCAUACUGUAUACAGUAUUCACUAUUAACAGAGUGGUGUAUACAGUAUUCACUAUUAGCAGAGUGUACUGUAUACAGUAUACACUAUUAGCAGAGUAUACUGUAUACAGUAUGCACUAUUAACAGAGUGGUGUAUACAGUAUUCACUAUUAGCAGAGUAUACUCUAUACAGUAUUCACUAUUAACAGAGUGGUGUAUACAGUAUUCACUAUUAGCAGAGUGUACUGUAUA